GUAAAGUUUUAUUCUUGCUUGAUUUAUUUACUUUAAGAAAUUUUUAUAUGCUAGAUUUUUCUUUGAUAAGUAUAGUCUAAAUGAUUAAUUAGAUAGGGUUAGCAGUGGAAUAUAUUAAUGAUUAAUGUAAGUUAGAGUUAGUUAUUUUUUUUAAAUAUUGAUAAAAUAUGUGCCAGCAGUCGCGGUUAUACAUGGAAUAUAAGUAAAUAUUUUUAGUUAGUAGUUAAUCUUUUAGUUGAAGAUUUAAAAGGUAAGUUUUUAGGUGAAAUUUAAAUUUUAAUUUAUUUCUAAUUAUUUUUGAUGAGGCUAUGAAAUCUAAUUAAUAAACUAGGAUUAGAUACCCUAUUAUUUAUGAAUUAAAAAAAUUAUGCUGGAGUAGUAAUAGUUAUGGACUUGAAACUUAAAGAAUUUGGCGGUAUCUUAGUCCAUUUAGAGGAAUCUGUCCCGUAAUCGAUAGUCCACGUUAAACCUUACUUAAGUCUAUGGUUUGUAUACCGCCGUAUAUGAAAAUCUUUUUAGAGUUGAUUUUCUAGAGAUUUUAUAGAUAGUAUUUCAGGUCAAGGUGCAAUUUAUAUUUAAGUGGUGAUGGAUUACAAUAUGAAAUUAGUUAAACGGAAUAUAGAAUUAAAUAUUUAUAUAAAGGUGGAUUUAAUAGUAAUGUUAUAUAGACUAUUAACUUGAUUAAGGCUCUAGGAUGUGCACACAUCGCCCGUCGCUCUCGUUAUAAGGUGAGAUAAGUCGUAACAAAGUAGGUGUACCGGAAGGUGUAGCUAGAAUGAU
Molecule: non-coding RNA, 780 nt
Filed under: Diploptera punctata (Pacific beetle cockroach)
Lineage: Eukaryota; Metazoa; Arthropoda; Insecta; Blattodea; Blaberidae
Source: RNAcentral